CCUACGGGUGAGCAGCAGUGGGGAAUAUUGGACAAUGGGCGAAAGCCUGAUCCAGCCAUGCCGCGUGUGUGAAGAAGGCCUUCGGGUUGUAAAGCACUUUCAGUGGGGAAGAAAGCCUUGGGGCUAAUACCCUCGAGGAAGGACAUCACCCACAGAAGAAGCACCGGCUAACUCCGUGCCAGCAGCCGCGGUAAUACGGAGGGUGCGAGCGUUAAUCGGAAUUACUGGGCGUAAAGCGCGCGUAGGCGGUCUGAUAAGCCGGUUGUGAAAGCCCCGGGCUCAACCUGGGAACGGCAUCCGGAACUGUCAGGCUAGAGUGCAGGAGAGGAAGGUAGAAUUCCCGGUGUAGCGGUGAAAUGCGUAGAGAUCGGGAGGAAUAACAGUGGCGAAGGCGGCCUUCUGGACUGACACUGACGCUGAGGUGCGAAAGCGUGGGUAGCAAACAGGAUUAGAUACCCUAGUAGUC
Molecule: ribosomal RNA, 466 nt
Filed under: Vreelandella stevensii
Lineage: Bacteria; Pseudomonadati; Pseudomonadota; Gammaproteobacteria; Oceanospirillales; Halomonadaceae
Description: partial 16S ribosomal RNA
Rfam family: Bacterial small subunit ribosomal RNA
Source: RNAcentral